This 798-nucleotide ribosomal RNA is filed under the name Amolops larutensis (Larut sucker frog). Its description in RNAcentral is "partial small subunit ribosomal RNA". It matches the Rfam family "Bacterial large subunit ribosomal RNA", at positions 1536 to 2568 of the family's 2925-position model. The record is from RNAcentral. Lineage: Eukaryota; Metazoa; Chordata; Amphibia; Anura; Ranidae.
UAAACAUCAACCAACCCUUCAAUUCUAUUGAACUAUUUUAUAUAUAUAUAAAAACUAUUAUGCUAGAACUAGUAAUAAGAAAUUGACUUUCUCCUAAAUGUAAACUUAACCCAAAUAGGACCCCCCAUUGGAAAUUAACGUAAAUAAAAUUAUAGCACACUUGACUAGAAAACCCUAUAAUAAUUAACGUUCAUCUGACACUAGAACAUUAAAGGAAAGAUUAAAAGAGGGAGAAGGAACUCGGCAAAUAUUAGCCCCGCCUGUUUACCAAAAACAUCGCCUCCUGCUAACAUAUAGGAGGUCCAGCCUGCCCAGUGACAUAGUUUAACGGCCGCGGUACCCUAACCGUGCGAAGGUAGCAUAAUCACUUGUUCUUUAAAUAGGGACUUGUAUCAACGGCAUCACGAGGGCUUCACUGUCUCCUCCCUUAAAUCAGUGAAACUGAUCUCCCCGUGAAGAAGCGGGGAUAUAACUAUAAGACGAGAAGACCCCAUNGGAGCUUUAAACUCAAUACACACCCACAGAUAUCUAAAUCAAUUUAGUCUAAAAAAUUGUGUGCUAGUUUUGGGCUGGGGGGGCCGCGGAGUAUAACCUAACCUCCACGACAAACAGGUUAAUACCUUUAUCCACGAGCUACGCCUCUAAGAAUUAAUAAACUAAUGUUCCAUGACCCAUUUUAUGAUCAACGAACCAAGUUACCCUGGGGAUAACAGCGCAAUCUACUUCGAGAGCUCAUAUCGACAAGUAGGUUUACGACCUCGAUGUUGGAUCAGGAAAUCCUAGUGGUGCAGCCGCUUA